AAACCGUGGUGCGGGCACUGAGUGGUAUAUCCUUUGAAACGUUCCCAUGCCGCAGAAAAUGAUUCAGAAGUCUUCUGAUUGAAUCCCGAAAUCUCAUUCCUCAAUCU
This is a small nucleolar RNA of Arabidopsis thaliana (thale cress), 107 nucleotides long. It matches the Rfam family "Plant small nucleolar RNA R71". Rfam says of the family: R71 is a member of the C/D box family of snoRNAs containing the C (UGAUGA) and D (CUGA) box motifs. Multiple nearly identical copies of this snoRNA have been identified in Arabidopsis, and it is thought to function as a 2'-O-ribose methylation guide for 18S ribosomal RNA. NCBI's taxonomy places the organism in Eukaryota, Viridiplantae, Streptophyta, Magnoliopsida, Brassicales, Brassicaceae. The record is from Rfam.